This 946-nucleotide ribosomal RNA is filed under the name Khawia sinensis. RNAcentral's name for it is "16S ribosomal RNA". The stretch from base 605 to 946 matches the Rfam family "Bacterial large subunit ribosomal RNA", at positions 2047 to 2718 of the family's 2925-position model. The record is from RNAcentral. Lineage: Eukaryota; Metazoa; Platyhelminthes; Cestoda; Caryophyllidea; Lytocestidae.
AAAUUAGUAUUAAAUUUAUUGGGUGUUUUAUUGGUUUAUGUGCCUUUUGCCUCAUGCUAAUUCUACUUUAUGGGUAAUACCUUAAACCGAAACUCCCGGAUCUCCCUUUAAACAGUUGAGAACAAGUGUUGGGUAAAUUUUUAGAUUUAUAGGGUGUUGUGAUAAAUUAGUCGACGGGAGGUAUAUCUGUUACGGGUGGUAGUUUUCUUAAAACAAGUGGGGUGAUGAGAUCCUUUUUGUGCUUAUAUGGAGGGUUUUGGCUACUUUUACUAAGGUUAAGGUUACCUUUGUUUAAUGAUAAUGUUAAAAUAUCGGGUUUGUAUAGUUGUAAUUAAGUGUAGACCACUCGUAUACUAAUUGUUUGAGAUUAUUUAUGAGUUAAUUAGUAAUUAUAUUAAUUCAAAUCAAUCUCGGGCCUAGCCCAACUGUUUAUUAAAAACAUUUCUGCUUGAGACCUAAGCAGUAUGACCUGCCCGGUGUAAUAUUAACGGCCGCAGUAUUAUGACUGUGCGAAGGUAGCAUAAUUAAUUGCCCUAUAAUUGGGGGCUUGUUUGAAAGGUUUAAUGGGGUUAGAGCCAAGAUUUGAGUUAUAUGUGAAUUUAAUGUCGUGGGUAAAGAAUCCACGAAGGUUAGUUAGACGGAAAGACCCCAGGAUCUUUCGUUUUGUCUGGGGCAGAUUAAACUUUUUUAGUUUAUUUGUGACCCUUAGAUUGGAGAGUUAAGUUACCCUGGGGAUAACAGAGUAAUAGUUUAUAAGAGAUCUUAUCGAUUAAACUGAUUGCUACCUCGAUGUUGACUUGGGUGAGUUUAUGGGCGUAGUCGUUUCUAAACAUGGUCUGUUCGACCAAUAUACCCUCAUGAGUUGAGUUAAGACCGGCGUAAGCCAGGUCGGUUCUUAUCUGCUGGUGUAGUGGGUUAGUACGAAAGGACCCCCCACUGUUUUAUU